GGCCGGUUAGCUCAGUUGGUUAGAGAGCGUGGUGCUAAUAACGCCAAGGUCGCGGGUUCGACUCCCACGGGCCAGCCG
Puntigrus tetrazona (Sumatra barb) is the source of this 78-nucleotide non-coding RNA. The record is from the annotation of a RefSeq genome assembly. Lineage: Eukaryota; Metazoa; Chordata; Actinopteri; Cypriniformes; Cyprinidae.